This 331-nucleotide long non-coding RNA is filed under the name Capsicum annuum. RNAcentral's name for it is "long non-coding RNA (CANN_LNC004101)". The record is from RNAcentral. Lineage: Eukaryota; Viridiplantae; Streptophyta; Magnoliopsida; Solanales; Solanaceae.
CAAUCUCAAAGAUUAAUUGAACUAAGUGAUGGAAGUUCUCUCUUAUCGGGUGGUAUCCCAGGGGCAUAAGCCUAUCAUGGGUCGAUCCCUAUUUAUGUAUUUAUGGGUGGUAUCCCAGGGGCAUAAGCCUAGCAUGGGUCGAUCCCAGUUGAUAUGUACUGGAGGCAGCCUAAUGGUCACAGUACAAUACAGUAAUGAUUACAAAGAUAAUAAGAACGAAGGUAAAGUGAUUGAAUAAAUACAAUGUACAGGUUGUCACAAGUUCUAGUAAGUGUGGUCCACUCCUAUUACUAUUUAUUCACUUGUUUCUGAUUUCUAUUGAGCUCCUAUA